RNAcentral lists this ribosomal RNA (279 nucleotides) under uncultured soil bacterium. Its description in RNAcentral is "partial 16S ribosomal RNA". It matches the Rfam family "Bacterial small subunit ribosomal RNA", at positions 26 to 307 of the family's 1533-position model. The record is from RNAcentral.
AGAUUGAACGCUGGCGGCAGGCCUAACACAUGCAAGUCGAGCGGUAGAGAGGUGCUUGCACCUCUUGAGAGCGGCGGACGGGUGAGUAAUGCCUAGGAAUCUGCCUAGUGGUGGGGGAUAACGUUCGGAAACGGACGCUAAUACCGCAUACGUCCUACGGGAGAAAGCGGGGGACCUUCGGGCCUCGCGCCAUUAGAUGAGCCUAGGUCGGAUUAGCUAGUUGGUGAGGUAAUGGCUCACCAAGGCGACGAUCCGUAACUGGUCUGAGAGGAUGGACUA